This 235-nucleotide ribosomal RNA is filed under the name uncultured Lachnospiraceae bacterium. RNAcentral describes it as "partial 16S ribosomal RNA". It matches the Rfam family "Bacterial small subunit ribosomal RNA", at positions 104 to 339 of the family's 1533-position model. Lineage: Bacteria; Bacillati; Bacillota; Clostridia; Lachnospirales; Lachnospiraceae. The record is from RNAcentral.
GGGUGAGUAACGCGUGGGUAACCUGCCUCAUACAGGGGGAUAGCAGCUGGAAACGGCUGGUAAUACCGCAUAAGCGCACAGUACCACAUGGUACAGUGUGAAAAACUCCGGUGGUAUGAGAUGGACCCGCGUCUGAUUAGCUGGUUGGUGAGGUAACGGCCCACCAAGGCGACGAUCAGUAGCCGACCUGAGAGGGUGACCGGCCACAUUGGGACUGAGACACGGCCCAGACUCC